AGAGUUUGAUCCUGGCUCAGAACGAACGCUGGCGGCAGGCCUAACACAUGCAAGUCGAACGAUGCCUUCGGGCAUAGUGGCGCACGGGUGAGUAACACGUGGGAACAUACCUUUUGGUGGGGGAUAACUUCGGGAAACUGAAGCUAAUACCGCAUACGCCCCUUGGGGGAAAGAUUUAUCGCCGAAAGAUUGGCCCGCGUCCGAUUAGCUAGUUGGUGAGGUAAUGGCUCACCAAGGCUCCGAUCGGUAGCUGGUCUGAGAGGAUGACCAGCCACACUGGGACUGAGACACGGCCCAGACUCCUACGGGAGGCAGCAGUGGGGAAUAUUGGACAAUGGGCGCAAGCCUGAUCCAGCCAUGCCGCGUGAGUGAUGAAGGCCUUAGGGUUGUAAAGCUCUUCACCCACGACGAUGAUGACGGUAG
RNAcentral lists this ribosomal RNA (423 nucleotides) under uncultured Alphaproteobacteria bacterium. Its description in RNAcentral is "bacterial SSU rRNA". It matches the Rfam family "Bacterial small subunit ribosomal RNA", at positions 8 to 478 of the family's 1533-position model. The record is from RNAcentral. Lineage: Bacteria; Pseudomonadati; Pseudomonadota; Alphaproteobacteria.